This 496-nucleotide ribosomal RNA is filed under the name uncultured bacterium. RNAcentral's name for it is "partial 16S ribosomal RNA". It matches the Rfam family "Bacterial small subunit ribosomal RNA", at positions 28 to 507 of the family's 1533-position model. The record is from RNAcentral.
GAUGAACGCUGGCGGCGUGCCUAAUACAUGCAAGUCGAGCGAACAGAUGAGGAGCUUGCUCCUCUGACGUUAGCGGCGGACGGGUGAGUAACACGUGGAUAACCUACCUAUAAGACUGGGAUAACUUCGGGAAACCGGAGCUAAUACCGGAUAAUAUAUUGAACCGCAUGGUUCAAUAGUGAAAGACGGUUUUGCUGUCACUUAUAGAUGGAUCCGCGCCGCAUAGCUAGUUGGUAAGGUAACGGCUUACCAAGGCAACGAUGCGUAGCCGACCUGAGAGGGUGAUCGGCCACACUGGAACUGAGACACGGUCCAGACUCCUACGGGAGGCAGCAGUAGGGAAUCUUCCGCAAUGGGCGAAAGCUUGACGGAGCAACGCCGCGUGAGUGAUGAAGGUCUUCGGAUCGUAAAACUCUGUUAUUAGGGAAGAACAAAUGUGUAAGUAACUAUGCACGUCUUGACGGUACCUAAUCAGAAAGCCACGGCUAACUACGUG